This 468-nucleotide ribosomal RNA is filed under the name uncultured bacterium. RNAcentral describes it as "partial 16S ribosomal RNA". It matches the Rfam family "Bacterial small subunit ribosomal RNA", at positions 28 to 507 of the family's 1533-position model. The record is from RNAcentral.
GACGAACGCUGGCGGCGUGCUUAACACAUGCAAGUCGAACGGAAAGGCCCUGCUUUUGUGGGGUGCUCGAGUGGCGAACGGGUGAGUAACACGUGAGUAACCUGCCCUUUACUUUGGGAUAACUUCAGGAAACUGGGGCUAAUACCGGUUAGUAGCUCCUGCUGCAUGGUGUGGGUUGGAAAGUUUCGGCGGUUGGGGAUGGACUUGGGGCUUAUCAGCUUGUUGGUGGGGUAGUGGCUUACCAAGGCGUUGACGGGUAGCCGGCCUGAGAGUGUGACCGGCGACAUUGGGACUGAGAUACGGCCCAGACUCCGACGGGAGGCAGAAGUGGGGAAUAUUGCACAAUGGGCGGAAGCCUGAUGCAGCAACGCCGCGUGCGGGAUGACGGCCUUCGGGUUGUAAACCGCUUUCGCCUGUGACGAAGCGUGAGUGACGGUAAUGGGUAAAGAAGCACCGGCUAACUACGUG